UGGGGAAUUUUGGACAAUGGGCGAAAGCCUGAUCCAGCAAUGCCGCGUGUGUGAAGAAGGCCUUCGGGUUGUAAAGCACUUUUGUCCGGAAAGAAAUCCUUGGCUCCAAUACAGUCGGGGGAUGACGGUACCGGAAGAAUAAGCACCGGCUAACUACGUGCCAGCAGCCGCGGUAAUACGUAGGGUGCAAGCGUUAAUCGGAAUUACUGGGCGUAAAGCGUGCGCAGGCGGUUUGCUAAGACCGAUGUGAAAUCCCCGGGCUCAACCUGGGAACUGCAUUGGUGACUGGCAGGCUAGAGUAUGGCAGAGGGGGGUAGAAUUCCACGUGUAGCAGUGAAAUGCGUAGAGAUGUGGAGGAAUACCGAUGGCGAAGGCAGCCCCCUGGGCCAAGUACUGACGCUCAUGCACGAAAGCGUGGGGAGCAAACAGGAUUAGAUACCCUGGUAGUCCACGCCCUAAAACGAUGUCAACUAGUUGUUGGGGAUUCAUUUCCUUAGUAACGUAGCUAACGCGUGAAGUUGACCGCCUGGGGAGUACGGUCGCAAGAUUAAAACUUAAAUGAAUUGACGGGGUCAUAGCUGUUUCCU
This 587-nucleotide ribosomal RNA is filed under the name uncultured bacterium. RNAcentral describes it as "partial 16S ribosomal RNA". It matches the Rfam family "Bacterial small subunit ribosomal RNA", at positions 355 to 1375 of the family's 1533-position model. The record is from RNAcentral.